GAUGAACGCUAGCGACAGGCCUAACACAUGCAAGUAGAGGACAGUGGCGGACGGGUGAGUAACGCGUGAGGAACCUGCCUUUCAGAGGGGGACAACAGUUGGAAACGACUGCUAAUACCGCAUGACACAUUGGGGUCGCAUGGCUCUGAUGUCAAAGAUUUAUCGCUGAAAGAUGGCCUCGCGUCUGAUUAGCUAGUUGGUGAGGUAACGGCCCACCAAGGCGGCGAUCAGUAGCCGGACUGAGAGGUUGACCGGCCACAUUGGGACUGAGAUACGGCCCAGACUCCUACGGGAGGCAGCAGUGGGGAAUAUUGGGCAAUGGGCGCAAGCCUGACCCAGCAACGCCGCGUGAAGGAAGAAGGCUUUCGGGUUGUAAACUUCUUUUGUCAGGGACGAGUAGAAGACGGUACCUGACGAAUAAGCCACGGCUAACUACGUG
RNAcentral lists this ribosomal RNA (439 nucleotides) under uncultured bacterium. Its description in RNAcentral is "bacterial SSU rRNA". It matches the Rfam family "Bacterial small subunit ribosomal RNA", at positions 28 to 507 of the family's 1533-position model. The record is from RNAcentral.